CUUGAGGAAAAGGAUGAAAUCAUCUGAUUUCAUUAGCUAGCUGUUGUCAUGGUUUUCUUUUAGGAACAUAAGAGCUGAUGUAUGUUAGAAUGGCUGUUGUUUGAACCUGAGAAGGGAGCAAGCAUUGGGCUGCCAUCUCUAAUGAUACUCCUUGUCAGGCCUCCCAUGCUUCUGGUAAGUUAGCUGAUAGUAAUUUUAUCAGAACUUGCAUAUAGGUGAAAAGAUAUCAUAUGCUACUGAAAGUCUAUCACAAAUUUUAACCAGUAGCAACUCCACUGAACCACUAAACUCAGGGC
This 296-nucleotide long non-coding RNA is filed under the name Elaeis guineensis (African oil palm). RNAcentral describes it as "long non-coding RNA (EGUI_LNC026601)". The record is from RNAcentral. Lineage: Eukaryota; Viridiplantae; Streptophyta; Magnoliopsida; Arecales; Arecaceae.